CUAGGUAAGCAAUGGUCUAAUAUGAAUGAAGAGAAGGAUUCAAAUGUUAUCAUUUCAAGGUGGUUAUCACUCAAAAACAAGGAGCUUGAUCAUUAUGAAAAAUUUAUCUAAGACUAGAAGCAAUUCAUGCAUACAUAGAUCCAUUUUCAUCAUUCUACCCUUUUCCUAAGUGAUUACAAGUUCUACCCUUUUCAUCCCCAUCUUAAAGCCAAAAUAACACCCACUCACAUCACUAACCCAAUGAACAACUCUCUUUUUCAUUUGAUUCAUCCAACUAGGGACUUUAAUUCACUUUUUACAACACUUAGCUCUAAGUCUUUCUCAUUUCCCUUCCCGCCUUCUCUUUGAUUUUUUUUAUUUUUUUAUAAGGGGGAAGGUUCUUUUGUACACAAUCUAGAGCUUCAUACUUUUCUUCUGUCCCUAGAGUUUUUAUUUUCUAAUGACACUCUUUUGUUCAUCUUUCUCAUCUUUCUCACUCUCCAAACCCAAGAUAUUAACAUUUAGAACACACAAACCCUCUCACCACCCCCAAAUGCUAGCUCAUUAUGCUAGCAAGAGAUGAGAAGAAAUCUAUGUCACCACCCCCAAAAGUGGCCUCACUCAUGCAAAUCAAUGUUUGGUCUCAAAGAAUGGCUAGGGUUGUAGGGUAUGGAGUACCAUUUGGGUUAACAAAGAGUGGUAUAAUGGAAUAAGAUAACCCAAAUGUGUAUGAGAUCCAUGAUCAAGUAUGCAAGUGCCCAUAUGCAAGAGAGAUUAAGUUCAUUCAAGCCAAGUUCAGUUUGGAGCUGAUUUUAAGAACAAUGCCAAUGUCAAGCAAGCAAACAAGUUUCAAGAUGAGUUUUCAAGGCUCGAAGCAUGCAAGGCUUUUUAGAGAUGCUUAAGCUACUUGAUAUGUUUAACUAGGGUGUCACUUUGAGUUCUAGACAAGACUUCUUUACAAGGCAUUUUAAAUCAUUGCUCCCUAUGCAAGUGAAUGCAACCUAUAUGCUCUAGACUCAAUCCUAAAAGUGCAAGUGAUGCAACUACAUUCUACUUUUUGUUUUUUUUUUUCAAAUUUUUCAAUUUCUUUUUUGUUUUUUCAAUGCAUAUAUGUAUGUACAAUGCAAUGCAUGAGACUCAAAUCAUCAAAGAAAACAUGAUCAAAUACUUAGUACCUCCCCCAAACUUAGUUCACACAGUCUCUGUGUUAGGAAGUUCAAGGAGAUACUGAAAAGAGUGAUAAAUGCAAAGAAAAACCCGUAUAUACAAUGGAAAGGUGGUGGAGUAUCUCACUAUGGAGCGUGGUAAGAGGCCGUUGGCUCAUCCUCGUUGUUGGAAUCGAUCAACACUUUCUCAGGACCAACAAGCGACAACUGAGGUCCUAGAUAUGGCUAGUCUAAAUAUACGGAAGUUGAUUGACUAUACUUAUUUGUUUGAGUUCUAGAAUAUCCAUAUAUGCUUAGUAGUCUAUGUCUCUAUAAUCCUAAUUGUCUGAAUAGAAAUCUUAAGUGUAACGUCUCCCAUAUCUGUCUUAAAACCCAAUCAAUCAAUCGAACAUUUACUUGUUCACCC
RNAcentral lists this long non-coding RNA (1551 nucleotides) under Brassica rapa (field mustard). RNAcentral describes it as "long non-coding RNA (BRAP_LNC006813)". Lineage: Eukaryota; Viridiplantae; Streptophyta; Magnoliopsida; Brassicales; Brassicaceae. The record is from RNAcentral.